This 459-nucleotide ribosomal RNA is filed under the name Discosia sp. OT3-176b. Its description in RNAcentral is "eukaryotic LSU rRNA". The stretch from base 115 to 268 matches the Rfam family "5.8S ribosomal RNA". The record is from RNAcentral. Lineage: Eukaryota; Fungi; Ascomycota; Sordariomycetes; Amphisphaeriales; Sporocadaceae.
GAGCGAGCUACCCUGUAGCUACCCUGGAGCGGGCUACCCUGUAACGUUUUGCCGGUGGACCAUUAAACUCUUGUUAUUAUAUUGUAAUCUGAGCGUCUUAUUUUAAUAAGUCAAAACUUUCAACAACGGAUCUCUUGGUUCUGGCAUCGAUGAAGAACGCAGCGAAAUGCGAUAAGUAAUGUGAAUUGCAGAAUUCAGUGAAUCAUCGAAUCUUUGAACGCACAUUGCGCCCAUUAGUAUUCUAGUGGGCAUGCCUGUUCGAGCGUCAUUUCAACCCUUAAGCCUAGCUUAGUAUUGGGAGCUUACAGUUAUGUAACUCCUCAAAUUCAACGGCGGAUCUGUGGUAUCCUCUGAGCGUAGUAAUUUUUAUCUCGCUUUUGUUAGGUGCUGCAGCUCCCAGCCGCUAAACCCCCCAAUUUUUAAUGGUUGACCUCGGAUCAGGUAGGAAUACCCGCUGAA